RNAcentral lists this ribosomal RNA (253 nucleotides) under uncultured bacterium. Its description in RNAcentral is "partial 16S ribosomal RNA". It matches the Rfam family "Bacterial small subunit ribosomal RNA", at positions 524 to 776 of the family's 1533-position model. RNAcentral also lists the same sequence under 1 other name. The record is from RNAcentral.
UACGUAGGGUGCGAGCGUUAAUCGGAAUUACUGGGCGUAAAGCGUGCGUAGGUGGUUCGUUGUGUCUGUGGUGAAAGCCCCGGGCUUAACCUGGGAAUGGCCAUGGAAACUGGCGAGCUGGAGUGUGGCAGAGGGGGGUGGAAUUCCGCGUGUAGCAGUGAAAUGCGUAGAGAUGCGGAGGAACACCGAUGGCGAAGGCAGCCCCCUGGGCUAACACUGACGCUGAGGCACGAAAGCGUGGGGAGCAAACAGG